GUUAUCCUACGGGACGCAGCAGUGGGGAAUAUUGCACAAUGGGGGAAACCCUGAUGCAGCGACGCCGCGUGAGUGAAGAAGUAAUUCGUUAUGUAAAGCUCUAUCAGCAGGGAAGAAAAUGACGGUACCUGAGUAAGAAGCACCGUCUAACUACGUGCCAGCAGCCGCGGUAAUACGUAGGGGGCAAGCGUUAUCCGGAUUUACUGGGUGUAAAGGGAGCGUAGACGGCAGUGCAAGUCUGGAGUGAAAGGCGGG
RNAcentral lists this ribosomal RNA (255 nucleotides) under uncultured bacterium. RNAcentral's name for it is "partial 16S ribosomal RNA". It matches the Rfam family "Bacterial small subunit ribosomal RNA", at positions 333 to 605 of the family's 1533-position model. The record is from RNAcentral.